This 459-nucleotide ribosomal RNA is filed under the name uncultured bacterium. Its description in RNAcentral is "partial 16S ribosomal RNA". It matches the Rfam family "Bacterial small subunit ribosomal RNA", at positions 338 to 795 of the family's 1533-position model. The record is from RNAcentral.
CCUACGGGAGGCAGCAGUGAGGAAUAUUGGUCAAUGGGCGCGAGCCUGAACCAGCCAAGUCGCGUGAGGGAAGACGGUCCUAUGGAUUGUAAACUUCUUUUGUCGGGGAGCAAAAGACGCCACGCGUGGCGUUCUGAGAGUACCCGAAGAAAAAGCAUCGGCUAACUCCGUGCCAGCAGCCGCGGUAAUACGGAGGAUGCGAGCGUUAUCCGGAUUUAUUGGGUUUAAAGGGUGCGCAGGCGGAAGAUCAAGUCAGCGGUAAAAUUGAGAGGCUCAACUUCUUCGAGCCGUUGAAACUGGUUUUCUUGAGUGAGCGAGAAGUAUGCGGAAUUCGUGGUGUAGCGGUGAAAUGCAUAGAUAUCACACAGAACUCCGAUUGCGAAGGCAGCAUACCGGCGCUCAACUGACGCUCAUGCACGAAAGUGUGGGUAUCGAACAGGAUUAGAUACCCGAGUAGUC